This 111-nucleotide ribosomal RNA is filed under the name uncultured bacterium. RNAcentral's name for it is "partial 16S ribosomal RNA". It matches the Rfam family "Bacterial small subunit ribosomal RNA", at positions 1358 to 1482 of the family's 1533-position model. The record is from RNAcentral.
CGCCGUGAAUACGUUCCCGGGCCUUGUACACACCGCCCGUCACAUCACGAAAGUGGGUUGUACUAGAAGUCCGCCUAAAACGGCCCAAGGUAUGACUCACGAGUUGGGGUG